RNAcentral lists this ribosomal RNA (434 nucleotides) under uncultured Oscillospiraceae bacterium. RNAcentral describes it as "partial 16S ribosomal RNA". It matches the Rfam family "Bacterial small subunit ribosomal RNA", at positions 341 to 792 of the family's 1533-position model. Lineage: Bacteria; Bacillati; Bacillota; Clostridia; Eubacteriales; Oscillospiraceae. The record is from RNAcentral.
ACGGGAGGCAGCAGUGGGGGAUAUUGGUCAAUGGGGGAAACCCUGAACCAGCAACGCCGCGUGAGGGAAGAAGGUCUUCGGAUUGUAAACCUUUGUCUUAUGGGACGAUAAUGACGGUACCAUAGGAGGAAGCCACGACUAACUACGUGCCAGCAGUCGCGGUAAUACGUAGGUGGCGAGCGUUAUCCGGAAUUAUUGGGUGUAAAGGGUGCGUAGGCGGGAUGUAAAGUCAGAUGUGAAAUACCGUGGCUUAACUACGGGGCUGCAUUUGAAACUUACGUUCUUGAGUGAAGUAGAGGCAAGCGGAAUUCCCAGUGUAGCGGUGAAAUGCGUAGAUAUUGGGAGGAACACCUGUGGCGAAGGCGGCUUGCUGGGCUUUUACUGACGCUGAGGCACGAAAGUGUGGGGAGCAAACAGGAUUAGAUACCCUGGUA